GACCAUGUCGUCCUGCGAGUGUCUGAGCCCAUCAGAACUCAGAAGCUAAGCGGGGCCAGACCUGGUCAGUACUUGGACGUGAGACCGCCUUGGAAGGCCAAGGUC
RNAcentral lists this ribosomal RNA (105 nucleotides) under Mastacembelus armatus (zig-zag eel). Lineage: Eukaryota; Metazoa; Chordata; Actinopteri; Synbranchiformes; Mastacembelidae. The record is from RNAcentral.